GAUGAACGCUGGCGGCGUGCCUAAUACAUGCAAGUCGAGCGAACGGACGAGAAGCUUGCUUCUCUGACGUUAGCGGCGGACGGGUGAGUAACACGUGGAUAACCUACCUAUAAGACUGGGAUAACUUCGGGAAACCGUAGCUAAUACCGGAUAAUAUAUUGAACCGCAUGGUUCAAUAGUGAAAGACGGUCUUGCUGUCACUUAUAGAUGGAUCCGCGCUGCAUUAGCUAGUUGGUAAGGUAACGGCUUACCAAGGCAACGAUGCAUAGCCGACCUGAGAGGGUGAUCGGCCACACUGGAACUGAGACACGGUCCAGACUCCUACGGGAGGCAGCAGUAGGGAAUCUUCCGCAAUGGGCGAAAGCCUGACGGAGCAACGCCGCGUGAGUGAUGAAGGUCUUCGGAUCGUAAAACUCUGUUAUUAGGGAAGAACAUAUGUGUAAGUAACUGUGCACAUCUUGACGGUACCUAAUCAGAAAGCCACGGCUAACUACGUG
Molecule: ribosomal RNA, 497 nt
Filed under: uncultured bacterium
Lineage: Bacteria
Description: partial 16S ribosomal RNA
Rfam family: Bacterial small subunit ribosomal RNA
Source: RNAcentral